GAUGUGCUUGAUUUUACGCCU
Molecule: non-coding RNA, 21 nt
Filed under: Arabidopsis thaliana (thale cress)
Lineage: Eukaryota; Viridiplantae; Streptophyta; Magnoliopsida; Brassicales; Brassicaceae
Source: RNAcentral